This 375-nucleotide unclassified non-coding RNA is filed under the name soil metagenome. Its description in RNAcentral is "partial contains 5.8S ribosomal RNA, internal transcribed spacer 2, and large subunit ribosomal RNA". The stretch from base 1 to 120 matches the Rfam family "5.8S ribosomal RNA", at positions 35 to 154 of the family's 154-position model. The record is from RNAcentral.
GAUGAAGAACGUAGCGAAAUGCGAUAAGUAAUGUGAAUUGCAGAAUUCAGUGAAUCAUCGAAUCUUUGAACGCAUCUUGCGCUCCUUGGUAUUCUGAGGAGCAUGCCUGUUUGAGUGUCAUUAAAUUCUCAACUACACUGACUUUGAAUUGGUGUGGCUUGGAUUUGGGGGGAAAAUUGUUGUGGGCUUUUUGUAUAGUCUGCUCCCCUGAAAUUGAUUAGCGGUACCUUUGUGGAACUGUCUACAGGUGUGAUAAUUAUCUACAUCUUAGACAUCUGCUGAAUGCUGCUUUCUAAACCUUACUUGUAUUGACAAUCUUGACCUCAAAUCAGGUAGGACUACCCGCUGAACUUAAGCAUAUCAAUAAGCGGAGGA